GGGUUUACCCAUUGGUCAGGCUAAAUUGACUGUACUGGUGAGAUAAAUCUCUACCUUCUGAGGAACUCUCAUGCCAUUUAUUUGGUGUGGUUGGAAAUCAGGACUGUUACUUUGAAAAAAUUAGAGUGUUUAAAGCAGGCUAACGUCUGAAUACAUUAGCAUGGAAUAAUGAAAUAGGAC
Molecule: ribosomal RNA, 180 nt
Filed under: uncultured Glomeromycotina
Lineage: Eukaryota; Fungi; Glomeromycota
Description: partial small subunit ribosomal RNA
Rfam family: Eukaryotic small subunit ribosomal RNA (bases 44-180)
Source: RNAcentral